RNAcentral lists this non-coding RNA (89 nucleotides) under uncultured Prevotella sp. The record is from RNAcentral. Lineage: Bacteria; Pseudomonadati; Bacteroidota; Bacteroidia; Bacteroidales; Prevotellaceae.
CUUGAUGGGGUGCUCCGGUGUUUGCCGUGGCUGAGAUUAUACCCGUGUGAACCUGAUUCGGAUAAUGCCGACGUAGGGAUGUUCAGAUG